Molecule: long non-coding RNA, 1489 nt
Filed under: Malus domestica (apple)
Lineage: Eukaryota; Viridiplantae; Streptophyta; Magnoliopsida; Rosales; Rosaceae
Description: long non-coding RNA (MDOM_LNC011602)
Source: RNAcentral
CAUGCAUAUGGAGCAAGUGGGAUGGACGUUUUUGGUGUUUUAAAAAGGGUUUUAACACAUGCAAAAAUCUGAAUAAUGAAGUUGAAGUGUGGAAGUGUGCAGAUACAUACACUUAAGGAACAAUUUGAAAGGAAAAUAAGUGAAAGAUGCCAUUUGUUGGAUUGCUUUACAAGAUGUAUUCACAUUUUCAGCAACUACAAACAUAAUUGCAAGCUAAAAUGAUGCAUAGCAUGUGUGUAGAGUUGUAAAGUGGCCAAAAGUUGAUGUUUGCAAGAUGAAAUGAUGCAAAACAUGUGUGUGAAAGUUGUCUAACAGCUAGUACAUGUGGAAAAGGGAUGGAAUACAAGGCAAAUGCAUCAGAAAUUGAAGAAUGAAGGCACAUGGACAGCUACAAAGGAGUUGAAUUAGCAAAAAAGGAAUGAUUGCCUUUUGUUAAAGGCAAGACACAAUGAUAAAAGAGCAUGUAAACUAGCUGUUUUUGCAUCAUUUUGGUCUUUGUUUGUAUUGUUUAUUGAAGCCACUUGAGUGAUUCUUUGCUUUAGAGCUUCUAUAAAUAGGGAGUGAAGGGAAGAACACUAGACACGACACUACAUCAAAAACACAAUCAGCCACACCACCCAUUCUCCAUCCAUUCUUUUAGCCAAACCCAUCUACACAUUCAUACACUACGUCACAAACACAUUUUCAGCCAUCUUUCCCUCUUUUGUCAUACCCCCAUCCAUCCUAAACACCACCAUACCAUCUCCCAUCCAUUCCUCCAUACAUAUACCAUCCAAACCUGUCCCCAAAACCUUGUGCCGCAGCAAAGAGGAAGGAGGAGAAGCCUUGGACGUGCAUGCCAUUCAAGUUAGGAUCGUUGGAGCGUUUAGGUGUUUUCUUUCUUUUGAUUUCAAUGUUUAAAUUCUAUCCUCUUUAUUUUGUACGUAUGAAGAACUAAACCCCCCCCUUGGCUAGGGGGGGAUUCGAAACCAUGUUUAUGCUUGCUAUAUGAUUUGAUUGCUUUCAAUUGCGUUUCAUAAGUUGUGAAUUCAAUUUACUUAUCUACAUGAAUUAAAACUGAUUUGUGUGUGUUGGUUGAGAUUGCACGCUUAAUUUUCAUGCAUAAGUUUGAUGCUAGGAUAUAAGGGAAUUUCACCUAAUCGUUAUUAACUUAUAUUCAAAAGUAGUAAAGGUUGUUGAUCACAAUCGUGUUAAGUAAAUUCUUGGCAGAAGUUUCAUGCAAUUCAUAGUAACGAGUGCCUCGCUAGUGCUUAUGAUUUUCAUAAAACUUAAUGAUCUUUGCUUGUAUCUUUGUUAUGCAAUUCAUGCAGGGAACUUGUGAGGAAUGCUUUGGGUUGUCGUAUGCAAUUCAUCCAAUUCAAUAACUUUAGGAAAAUCUGAGGGUUAAUUAGUGCAAUUCACGGUUAAUUUGGGGCGUUGGGAAUUCAUGGUUUAUUGAGAAGCAAUUGGAAAUCGUUUUGUAUGCAAGUGUGACAUGUGUGGAGAAGAA